RNAcentral lists this ribosomal RNA (119 nucleotides) under Anolis carolinensis (green anole). Lineage: Eukaryota; Metazoa; Chordata; Lepidosauria; Squamata; Anolidae. The record is from RNAcentral.
GGUGGUGGCCUAAAUACCCUAAAGACACCAGAUCCCAUCUGAUCUUGGAAGCUAAGCAGAGUCAGCCCUGGUUAGUACCUGGGUGGGAGACCACCAAUGAAAACCAGGUACUGUUGGCU